Molecule: non-coding RNA, 5735 nt
Organism: Camellia sinensis
Lineage: Eukaryota; Viridiplantae; Streptophyta; Magnoliopsida; Ericales; Theaceae
Source: RefSeq, a predicted model, not a curated record
CACAACACAACGACUCACAAAAUAAUCCACUCUUCUGAGGUCGGUUCCACAUCGUAACAGAAUUUCCGAAAAAGCACGCUUAAAUAGACGGCAAUUCUCACCCACUCCAAAUUGUCGAGCCCCCAAAAAAGCUUCCGUGACGAUUAAAAUUUCAAAAAGUUGCUAGACCUUUACCCUCUGGCGCGGUCAUGUGUGGAACUGUGACUUCGUUCUUGGUCGUUCGCUAAAUUCUCUCUCGAUUUUGCGUUCUCUUCGAAUUGGAAGAUCUGUAUUCGAACUUCGAUCAAUAAGAGGUGUUUUUUUUUUUUUUCGAAUUGAAGGUAGGUACACUGUAUGCUUAAUGUUUUGAUGUUGAUUUUUGGGAUUCUUUGUUGAAAUAAACGAUACGAGUUUUUUGAGGUUUCACAUUAGGGCUAGGGUUCUGAGAUCUUUUGGAGCAUUUUGAUUUUCUCUUACUUUUUUGAGUUUGAGAUUUCUUGAUGCUUAAGUUUGGAAUGAUUAGUUGUUUUUGAAUGAUUAUGUUGGCAUUUUGUGAAGGAUUUAAUCUGGAGAGUUUCUGGGUUGAGGAGUUGUGAUAGUUAAAUUUAGGUUUGAAUGAUUUUAGGACUUGCAAUUUGGGUAUACCAGAACAACAAAAAGAAAUGUAGAAAAUUUUACUGGAGAAAAAAUUUGGAUAUGGCAAUUCAAUUAGAAAAUUUGUCCUUAGGCAAAUGUUUUUUUUAUUAUUUUUUAAAUGGUUACUGUUGCAUAAAAAUUCUUGCUUUCCUUGAGGCAAUUUUGAUGAACUUCAGUAAUGGAACAGUUCAAUCUUAUUCUCCGUCCUUAUGUAAGGAUUAAGGAAUAUGUAUCUUAAAUAGUUGGUAUUGGGUAUAUGAGGGCAAAGAUUAAGUAUGUGUAUGUAGUUUGAAGUUUGUUCUAAACUUCUCUCUCUCUCUCUCUCUCUCUCUCUCUCUCUCUCUCUCUCUCUCUCUUUGUUUUAUUUUAUUUUAUUUUAUUUUAUUUAUUUAUUUAUUUUUGGGAUUUGGGAUAGGCUGGGAAGGUUUUAUGUAAAUGGAAUUUUUUUUGCCCCAUCGAAUAACCUGUCUUGUAGGCCAAGUGUUACCUUUAGAGAUCAAGUCUUGUUGUUGUCGUGUUUUUUUAUCUGAAAAAGAAAGUAAGUUUGAAAAUUUGUGGCUAGCUAAUAUGGCAUGAUGUAUGUGUAUUCAGGAAAGGUAUUUAUUGAAUGUCAAGACAGAAUAAUGAACAAAAUUCAUUUACUCUACUUUUUCUGAAUGUAGAUAUUGAAUUGGAAAGGUUCGGUCUUAGACCCUCAUUGUUGUGUGCAAUUUGGAGUUAAGCUGUUAUUCAAAUUACAGCUUAAGGUAUGCAGAAGCCUUUUUUCUGCUACAUUUGGUAGAUAUGAAAUAUGAAAUAGGCUUCGAUGGAGAUUUGCAGUACAUUGGAGUUUUGUAUGUCUGAGAGUUAUUACAGUACUUGGAAAUCAAAUUGAGGGAUAAUUUCCUUUUCCAUAUUGGACAAUUUAGGAGAGAAUUACAUUUGUUAUUGAUGUGGUGGAAAAGAGUUAAAAUCUGUGUCUUUGUGAUGUAUAGAAUGUAGUCAUCACAACGGUUGGGAAGAUUGGAGCGGAUGUAGUCCAUAGAAUUAAGGCAUGGAGGCUUAAGUGGAGGAGUGCGUCUGGGGUAUUCUGUGAUAAACGAGUACCCACUAGACUAAAAAGAAAGUUCUAUAGAAUGGUUAUAAGACUAGUGAUAUUGUAUGGGACAGAAUGUUGGACAACUAAGAAACAACAUGUAGAUAAGAUGAGUAUUGCUGAGAUGAGGAUGUUAAGGUGGAUAUGUGGCAAAACUGUAAAAGACAUAAUUAGGAAUGAAUAUAUUCGUGAAUGGGUAGGAGUAGCACCGAUAGAAGAUAAGUUGAGAGAGAAUAGAUUGAGAUGGUUUGAUCAUAUACAACAGCGGAGACCAAUAGAAGUAGUAGUGAAGAAAUGUGAUACAGUGACGGUAGAUGGAAGUGUUAGAGGAAGCGGCAGACCUAGAUUGACGUGGGUUAGUAAAUAGAGAUAUGAAUCUCGUUAAUUUGACUAAUUAGAUGGCCGUUGAUAAAAUCAAGUGGAAAAGAAUGAUUCAUGUAGCCGACCCCAUUUGAUGGGACUUAAGGCUUGGUUUGGUUUGCUCAUAGGUCUGCUUUAGAAAAAGUAGUCUGAAGGAUGAAAAAAUGUCUUCUGACUUUCAGAUUUAACUCAAGUUUUAUUAUUUAGAUAGAUCAUAAGCGGAAUCCUGGAUGACAGAUCUGAAGCGUAAUCCUUGAUGACAAUCUUCUGAUUUUGAUUUUCUUUUUUAUUCUGCCAUCUGUCUGAUAGCAGUUUUAGUCACUAAAUCACAUUUUCCCCCUGGUUGAUUGUGUGUCUUAUAGCUUCUCUCAUUUUUCAUUACAUAGCUUUUGAUUCACAAACUCUUGGGUAAUUCUUUUUCUGCAGAAUUUGAGUUUACUGAAUUGCCAUAUAUUGAUGGCUUAACUUUUUGAGGUGUUUUGGAUUCUGGUAUGCUUUUUUCCUUUCUUAAACAUCUGUCCUUGUUUUAAGUUUUAUGGUUGUAUCUAGAAUGAGUUUCUUGGUAAGAGCUAAACUAUGAUAUUUCUAUAUUAAGUAUCGAAACUGUCCUUAUGUCAAUUUAGAGAAAUGGGCUGCUUGAUUAACUAGUCAGAGAUACCUAGCCCAUUAGAAUGUGGUAUGAGUUUGUGGUGGUCUGAGGAGUAAAAAUCUCAUAUGAAGAAAAUUUGUGAUGGCAUGAUUUGUUUGAUCUUGAUCUCAUACACUGUGCUACUUGGGAGUAUGGCUCUGGCAAUAAAGUUGUCACUUCGUCUCAAAUCAUGACAUAUAAAAGAAAAAUAGCAGAAAUGCUGUAUUUUUUUGUAACUUGUUUACAAUUUUGUGAUCACCUUAUGUAUUCUGGUUAUUGAAAGUGAUAUUGAUGUGGAAAAUGCAAUGAAUUACAAGCUCAACAAAAUUUGCUGGUAAUUUAUAAAAUCAAAGCUGAAUAGUCCAGAUAGAAAGUUUACUGCUUUUUUUUUUUUUAAUAAUCAGUCUGAAAGAUUUAAUAAUGAAAGUCCGCUAUGGGAAAAUUUAAAAUUAAAUUGCUGCAGAGUCUUGUUGGAGAUAAUAAAGGCAGAUGAUUAUGUAUGAGCAAGACCCUGAUGUUGUUCGUUGGGGUCUCCAUCUUCUAGAUGGUUGCAGCGUAUCCACUGAUGGUUCUCCUGGUAGUAUAGUUCAUUAUGACAAGGAUUUAUCACAAGUUGAGUAUGUCAAAGAAGGUUUUUGUGAGACAAAGCACAAUGAAGUAGAGAAUGAUGAGAUAAUUGCACGUGCUUUUCAAGAAGAACUAUCACGACUCGCAGCAGUAGAAGCAUCUGCAUCUUCACAAGCUGGGGAAGAUCAUUUGCAAGCAUCCAUUCUUGCUCAGGAUUGGCGGGGUCCUUCAAAGAGACAUUGCAGUUUUGAGGAUGGGAACAAUCAGAGAGAUGCAGAUGAAAGGGGGAAAUACAGUUCAUGUUCUAGCACAGAAGAAAAAUCACUUGGUCUGGAGGACCAGUCAUGUUCACCGGAGAUAGCAGAUGAGUCUACUCUUGAUGGUGAAGUGGGAAAGAGGUUGAAUCAGAUGGUUCCUAUUCCUCAUGUUCCUAAGAUUAACGGAGAAAUACCCUCAGUUGAUGAAGAAACAACAGAUCAUCAAAGAUUGCUUGAAAGAUUGCUUUUGUAUGAGUUGGUUGAGCUAAAGGUUCAAGGAGAUGGUAACUGUCAGUUCCGUGCUUUGUCAGAUCAAAUCUACCGUACUACUGAACACCACAAAUUUGUAAGAGAACAAGUUGUUGGUCAGCUCAAAUCGCACCCAGAAUUAUAUGAGGGUUAUGUUCCAAUGGCUUACAAUGACUAUUUGAAGCAUAUUAGCAAGACAGGUGAGUGGGGUGAUCAUGUCACAUUGCAGGCUGCUGCAGAUGCGGUAUUAACAACUCUUUCUCUCUCAUGUGCAUGUUAGCAUUAUCUAGCUAUUUGGUGACCAUGGCUUCAACUGUUGUUCACAAAUUCAUAUCUUUGCACUUUGCUUUCAUUUUAUCCUUCAUUAACUGUUCAUAAUUUUCCCUCUAUGUGAAUUAUUUCAUAUCUUGUAUGAAGUUAUGGGUUUAUUGAACUGCUGCUCAAGCAAGAACCGAUUGAUCUUAUGAUGCUACGAUCAUCUGUAAUUAACUUAAAUUCAAACAAUUUGAAAUUUGGUCACAUCACAGUUUGAUCUUGACCUCAACCUUAUUCAAGAAUUUGCUUGUGAAGUUGCUUCAUAUUUCUUUUCUAAAAGAAUUUAGUAGUUUUGUGAGGUGGAGAUAAAUAUAGGUUCACAUAUUGUGUUGAGCCUCAUACUGGAAGCAUGGUGGUCAAGGCAUGUGUCUGUAUUGUGGGUCUACAAAACAGAUGGGUGUUGUGGGACUGAGUCCUAAUCAAGAGAAAGAAGGUUUUCCUACAAUAAUGGGUGGUUGAGACUGCAAAAUAUUUUGCUCAUAUUGAUGUUGGCCUUGGUUGAAAGCUUUGAAGUGAUUUUUCUUUAGCCCAAAGGUUCUUAUUUCAAUCAAAUUGCAUUUUGUAUUUAUGCCAACAAUUAAGCUUAAGUAGACAAACUUGGACGGAUACUUAUCAUUCUAUUUCUAUGACUGGGGAGAGGUGCUUAAAAUUAAAAGGUGUUAAGAUAAAGGAAUGGUGUGUGUUAAGUGGGAUUACAAACAAAGGCCUCACAAACAUUACUUUGAAAUUUAAAUACCCAAUAAAGCAAAGCUGGAUCCUGAAUCAAGUAAUAGGUCUAAGGUUAGUUCUGACAACUCUAGCUUGUAUCAAAUGAAAGAAUUAAAAAAUAAUAAUUAAAAUUUAACUUGAAUUGAUAACAAAAUGGAACAACUUUUCAUUUUUUUUUUUAAAAUUUUAAAGAUACAAGGUUUAUUCAUAAAACUUGUAGAAUGCAGUUCAUUUAGAUAAAUCUAAGUAGAAGGGGAGUUUUGGAGAGUUUGGAGUUUAAAAUAACUGAAAAAAAAUUGAAAAUUAUUAAAAAGACUCAUAUGAUGAUGAGCAUCCCAUAUGGCACCACAAUGGGCUGCUAUGACACUGAUCCAGCCAUUACAACACUUUAAUGAGCCAUUACGGGUACGGAUUUCAUCUUGGCCACUAUAGUAGCCUAUAAUGGCUUUGGAACCCUCUGAAAUCAUCAUGUAAUAUGUAAUAGCCCCUUGGGCUGCCGAACCUUGUGCCUAGAGAGUAGCUCGCUAAAGGUGGAGGUCUCCAGGGGAGGAGAUAAAAGUUGAGGUUUCCUUAAAAACUACCUUACACGUUGAUGUUUCUACAAAAUUCUACAAUUUUAGUGAAACAAUAUAACUGCUUUCUUUUUUCUUUUUGCAAUUCCUGAAGUUAUUGGAAAGUUUUGCGCCUUCACCUUUCCUCUGAACAUAUUUUUUCUUUUCUUGUAUCAGUACCUGCACUCAUUUUACAACUCUGGCAAUCUUAUCAGUGCCCCCCUAUUCUUUUUUUGUUGUUGUUGGAGUUUAGGAGGAUUUAAAGGUUAGACCUACCCUUGUAUUGCUGUAGCCCACACCUGUAAACAAGUUUAUUUAACAUAAUUUUCUUAUGCUAGAAAAUUAAUUGGUUUUAGGUAUGUUGUCAUGCUAAAAUAAUUGCCUGAAACAUAGGGUGAUUAUUAUUAAAU